RNAcentral lists this ribosomal RNA (455 nucleotides) under uncultured bacterium. RNAcentral describes it as "bacterial SSU rRNA". It matches the Rfam family "Bacterial small subunit ribosomal RNA", at positions 30 to 528 of the family's 1533-position model. The record is from RNAcentral.
AUUGAACGCUGGCGGCAUGGCUAAAACAUGCAAGUCGAACGAUCCCUUCGGGGAGAGUGGCGAAAGGGCGAGGAAUAGAAUCGAAUGUACCCCAAGGUGGGGGAUAGCCUCUGGAAACGGAGGGUAAUACCCCAUGUGCUCUACGGAGGAAAGGUUUACCGCCUUGGGAGCAGCGAUUCUCCUAUCAGGUAGUUGGUGAGGUAACGGCUCACCAAGCCGAAGACGGGUAGCGGGUGUGAGAGCAUGACCCGCCGCAUCGGGACUGAGACACUGCCCGGACUCCUACGGGAGGCUGCAGUAACGAAUCUUCCGCAAUGGGCGAAAGCCUGACGGAGCAAUGCCGCGUGUGGGAUGAAGCAUCUUCGAUGUGUAAACCACUGUCAGGGUCUAGGAAUACUGACCAGACCCAAAGGAAGGGCCGGCUAAUUCCGUGCCAGCAGCCGCGGUAAAGUCAG